GGGCUUUGGAAAGAGUAAGGACAAGAAGCUGGGCUCCUCUUCCAUUAACUUCUCAUAGGAACCGUCUGUAAAAUACAAAGUUACAACAGGAAACGCAGAAGGUUAAGAUGGGAAUUACUCUCAACGAGCACCUGGCUUCUGCUGUAGGAGGCUCCCAAAAAGAGAACCAUGCUCUAAUCACUAAAGGAGGCCGCAGGGCACAGAUACAAUCGUCCAAGACAUUAUCCCACUGAAUAAACAGAGAACCAGAGAAAAGUAAUCCAACACGUCCAGCAAGUACGUACAAACCUGGGAGCUCUUGAUCAGCGGUGUCACAUAAAGCAGAUGAGACAGUAAAACCAAACGCUGCAGUGAUAUAUAAUUGUUGAUGGAAGCAUCCCUCUCCAUUUGUAUAUAUUUCACACAUACAAAUAUAUACACAACCUUUGAGUCUGGUUCUCCUCUCAUCAGCAAGGGCAUCAAUCAGGAGUUACGCUGGUAUAAAAUUGGUGUAAACAUGAGAAGAACCAGCCCCAUCAGUUAUAUAAUUUGUAUGUCUCGUGUCUAUUUGUCUAUCUCUAUGUGCCAGGUUUGGCCAUCCUUAUUCAUACGGAGUAAGUCAGUUUAAGUGUCAGGCACCUUAGUGAGGACCAAGGACCUGGCCCUGUUGGUGCAGGGGUAAAUGACUACACGUGGUGCAAGACGACAACAAAUCAAGCCCUCAUAUUCUUUCAAAUGAAUUUUUGUGUGACUUCACUGCAGUCGAUCGAUGUGAAAUGGACAGUCCUGAAGAUUAAGCCCCUUCUAUUUAUCUAUAGAGCAGCAACACUAGCACUAGUUUACCAUUCCCACUGUCCAUGGCUUACUCAGUCCUUGGCUUCUCCACAGACACUUCCAACAAGGGAGCUACUGUCCAAUGUGAUGAGGAGACCCAUCCAUUAAGAAUUGGUCUGAGACCAAGAACUCAUUCCACGUAGUCUUCCCAAGAACCUUCAGGUAGUAACGACUUCUGGAUGCUCUCAUGCUGAACUUGAUCUGGAGUUGAAAGGCUCCACACCCUAUUACAACCCCAUAAGCCACCUGGCCCCCUUUAAUAUCUUUAUA
Mauremys reevesii (Reeves's turtle) is the source of this 1083-nucleotide long non-coding RNA. RefSeq lists it as uncharacterized. Lineage: Eukaryota; Metazoa; Chordata; Testudines; Geoemydidae. The record is from RefSeq and is a predicted model, not a curated record. The transcript is spliced from 3 exons.